This 671-nucleotide ribosomal RNA is filed under the name uncultured bacterium. RNAcentral describes it as "bacterial SSU rRNA". It matches the Rfam family "Bacterial small subunit ribosomal RNA", at positions 66 to 746 of the family's 1533-position model. The record is from RNAcentral.
GCGAAGCUUUUCAGUAGUUUACUACAGAAAAUGACUGAGCGACGAACGGGUGAGUAACGCGUGAGCAAUCUACCUUAGUUACAGGGAUAGCCCGAGGAAACUCGGAUUAAUACCUGAUAUUCCUUACAUUUCGCAUGAAAUCAAAAGGAAAGGUCAGCCGAACUAAGAUGAGCUCGCGUUCUAUCAGCUAGUUGGUGAGGUAAAGCUCACCAAGGCAACGACGGAUAGCUGGUCUGAGAGGACGAUCAGCCACACUGGGACUGAGACACGGCCCAGACUCCUACGGGAGGCUGCAGCAGGGAAUAUUGCGCAAUGAGCGAAAGCUUGACGCAGCGACACCGCGUGUGGGAUGACGGAUCUAGGUUUGUAAACCACUUUCAGGAGGGAAGAAAAUGACGGUACCUCCACAAGAAGCCCCGGCCAACUACGUGCCAGCAGCCGCGGUAAUACGUAGGGGGCGAGCGUUGUCCGGAUUUAUUGGGCGUAAAGAGCUCGUAGGCGGUUCAGCAAGUCGGUCGUAAAAGUUCAGGGCUCAACCCUGAAAUGUCGAUCGAUACUGUUGUGACUAGGAUACGGUAGAGGUGAGUGGAAUUCCGAGUGUAGCGGUGAAAUGCGUAGAUAUUCGGAGGAACACCAAUUGCGAAGGCAGCUCACUGGGCCGCUAUCGACGC